CAGGACGAACGCUGGCGGCGUGCCUAACACAUGCAAGUCGAGCGGAGUUAACAAGAGGAAGUUUCGGAUGGAAUUUGUUAAUUAGCGGCGGACGGGUGAGUAACGCGUGAGCGACCAACCUUGCACAGGGGGAUAACGGACCGAAAGGUUCACUAAUACCGCAUGAGACCACGGUGUUGCAUGACACAGAGGUCAAAGGAGCAAUCCGGUGCAAGACGGGCUCGCGUCCGAUUAGGUAGUUGGUGGGGUAAUGGCCCACCAAGCCUAUGAUCGGUAGCCGACCUGAGAGGGUGAUCGGCCACAUUGGAACUGAGAUACGGUCCAAACUCCUACGGGAGGCAGCAGUGGGGAAUAUUGGGCAAUGGGGGGAAACCCUGACCCAGCAACGCCGCGUGAAGGAAGAAGGUUUUCGGAUUGUAAACUUCUGUCCUUGGUGAAGAGAAGAAGACGGUAGCCAAGGAGGAAGCCCCGGCUAACUACGUGCCAGCCGCCGC
Molecule: ribosomal RNA, 494 nt
Filed under: uncultured bacterium
Lineage: Bacteria
Description: bacterial SSU rRNA
Rfam family: Bacterial small subunit ribosomal RNA
Source: RNAcentral